RNAcentral lists this ribosomal RNA (207 nucleotides) under uncultured bacterium. Its description in RNAcentral is "partial 16S ribosomal RNA". It matches the Rfam family "Bacterial small subunit ribosomal RNA", at positions 568 to 774 of the family's 1533-position model. The record is from RNAcentral.
UGCGUAGGCGGCGCGGUAAGUCGGGUGUGAAAUCUCGGAGCUUAACUCCGAAACUGCAUUCGAUACUGCCGUGCUUGAGGACUGGAGAGGAGACUGGAAUUUACGGUGUAGCGGUGAAAUGCGUAGAUAUCGUAAGGAAGACCAGUGGCGAAGGCGGGUCUCUGGACAGUUCCUGACGCCGAGGCACGAAGGCCAGGGGAGCAAACG